RNAcentral lists this ribosomal RNA (497 nucleotides) under uncultured bacterium. Its description in RNAcentral is "partial 16S ribosomal RNA". It matches the Rfam family "Bacterial small subunit ribosomal RNA", at positions 28 to 507 of the family's 1533-position model. The record is from RNAcentral.
GAUGAACGCUGGCGGCGUGCCUAAUACAUGCAAGUCGAGCGAACAGACGAGGAGCUUGCUCCUCUGACGUUAGCGGCGGACGGGUGAGUAACACGUGGAUAACCUACCUAUAAGACUGGGAUAACUUCGGGAAACCGGAGCUAAUACCGGAUAAUAUAUUGAACCGCAUGGUUCAAUAGUGAAAGACGGUUUUGCUGUCACUUAUAGAUGGAUCCGCGCCGCAUUAGCUAGUUGGUAAGGUAACGGCUUACCAAGGCAACGAUGCGUAGCCGACCUGAGAGGGUGAUCGGCCACCCUGGAACUGAGACAGGGUCAAGACUCCUAAGGGAGGCAGCAGUAGGGAAUCUUCCGCAAUGGGCGAAAGCCUGACGGAGCAACGCCGCGUGAGUGAUGAAGGUCUUCGGAGCGUAAAACUCUGUUAUGAGGGAAGAACAAAUGUGUAAGUAACUAUGCACGUCUUGACGGUACCUAAUCAGAAAGCCACGGCUAACUACGUG